Cataglyphis hispanica is the source of this 1712-nucleotide RNA transcript. It is a transcript of the gene named probable U2 small nuclear ribonucleoprotein A', with no coding region annotated. NCBI's taxonomy places the organism in Eukaryota, Metazoa, Arthropoda, Insecta, Hymenoptera, Formicidae. The record is from RefSeq and is a predicted model, not a curated record. The transcript is spliced from 5 exons.
CGGGGAGAGGGAGAAAGAGAGAGGGAGGGAGAGAGAGAGAGAGAGAGAGAGAGAGAGAGAGAGAGAGAGAGAGAGAGACUUACAUUAAGUAAUAAAAUCAAAAUUGCGUUCAGUUUUUUGUUAUUUUAUUUUCUUUAAUAAUAAAAUAAAAAGUUUCUAAAAUUAAUUGAAAUACUUAAAAAAGGGAUUCGUGAACAGUUCAUCCAGGUUUUUCGAAAUUUUGUUUAUUAUUUUCUUAGAUGAUAGAUAUUACACUUUUGAUCUCUUGCAAAGAAAAUCAGAAUCAUAGCAAACACGCGGGGCUUCCUGUCAAAGUUUACCUUACUAAUUGUCGGUAGAAAAAUUGGCGCUGUAUCUAAUGUCGAUAAAUUUCGGAUAUUCGCGCUUUUGUUGCUCGCUUCAAUCUUCAAUCGUUGGUGUCGCUAGUUAUUUUUAUUAUGGCAUCAUUGGCAUCCAAUUGUUCCUCGUAUCAUUACUUAUAUUACCUAUAUUUGUUCUCGCAUAUCGACAAUUAAACGUGUAUGUGUACCGGCUAUACCGUAGUCGAUCACGAAACGAAAAUUGGAACUUCGUUAUAAAGUAAAAGUUUGACCAGUAGGCCACUCACAAUGGUGAAACUAACGCCGGAAUUGAUAGAACAAUCAAUGCAAUACAUCAAUCCUGUGCGUGAUCGUGAAUUAGAUCUCAGAGGAUACAAAAUACCUACCAUCGAGAAUUUGGGAGCGACGUUGGAUCAAUUUGACACAAUAGACUUUUCUGAUAAUGAUAUACGUAAGCUGGAUGGAUUCCCACUUUUGAAAAGAAUACAGACCUUGUUUUUUAAUAAUAAUCGUAUUGUCAGAAUUGCUGAUGGGUUAGAGCAUUGCAUACCAAAUUUACAUACGUUGAUGUUAACUGGCAAUAUGAUACAAGAAUUGGGAGAUCUAGAGCCUCUGACACAAUUGAAAAAUCUUACAAGCUUGUGUCUACUCCAAAAUCCAGUAUCAGCUAAGCCACACUACAGACAAUACGUUGUGUAUAGAUUUCCGCAACUCAAAUUACUCGAUUUCCGAAAAAUUAAAAUGAAAGAACGCGAGGCAGCAAUAGAAUACUUCAGAAGUCAACGUGGCAAAGAAAUGGCACGUGAAAUAGCAAAGAAGGUGAAGGCUCAAACAGCGGGUUCAGCCGCGGAUAAACCUCUUACAACACCCGAGGAACGUAACAAAAUUCGUGAAGCUAUCACAAACGCCUCUUCCUUGGAAGAGGUACAAAGGCUUAGCAAAUUGCUGCAAUCUGGUCAUAUACCGGGUGAAGAACGACUGCAAAAUGGAAGCGGAGCUGUGGAACCUAUGGAAGAGGAUGAUGAUUAAUUAACUUGCGUUCUGUGUUGUGUUUAUAAUGUAAGCCUGAAAAAAAUGAAGGGACCCACAUUCGAAACCCGAAUAAAGAAUUCCUUCAAGAAAUUCAUCUCUUAUUAUUAAAUUUCCUUGUAUAUUAUAUUUUAUGUAAGGUAUUGAUGAAUUAAUGGGAUAAAAAUUCAUGGGCGCACUUUUAGUAAAUUUGACUCGAUAAAUAGAUAAACUGAUUUAUUAUUUAUUUUUAAAUAUUUUCAUAAAAUCUUGAAGUUUAUGAAAAAUUUUUUAGUUUUUAGUUUGUCAAUGAGAUCAAUGGAACGAAAGAAACUGCGUUUGCGAGUUUAUCAAAAUAUAUGACUGAAUUUAAUUAACUUUAAU